CGCGGCCUAUCAGCUUGUUGGUGGGGUAAUGGCUUACCAAGGCGACGACGGGUAGCCGGCCUGAGAGGGUGACCGGCCACACUGGGACUGAGACACGGCCCAGACUCCUACGGGAGGCAGCAGUGGGGAAUAUUGCACAAUGGGCGCAAGCCUGAUGCAGCGACGCCGCGUGAGGGAUGACGGCCUUCGGGUUGUAAACCUCUUUCAGCAGGGAAGAAGCUUUUGUGACGGUACCUGUAGAAGAAGCGCCGGCUAACUACGUGCCAGCAGCCGCGGUAAUACGUAGGGCGCAAGCGUUGUCCGGAAUUAUUGGGCGUAAAGAGCUCGUAGGCGGUUUGUCGCGUCUGCUGUGAAAGCCCGGGGCUUAACUCCGGGUGUGCAGUGGGUACGGGCAGACUGGAGUGCAGUAGGGGAGACUGGAAUUCCUGGUGUAGCGGUGAAAUGCGCAGAUAUCAGGAGGAACACCGAUGGCGAAGGCAGGUCUCUGGGUUGUUACUGACGCUGAGGAGCGAAAGCAUGGGGAGCGAACAGGAUUAGAUACCCUGGUAGUCCAUGCCGUAAACGUUGGGCACUAGGUGUGGGGGGCAUUCCACGGUCUCCGCGCCGUAGCUAACGCAUUAAGUGCCCCGCCUGGGGAGUACGG
This 643-nucleotide ribosomal RNA is filed under the name uncultured bacterium. RNAcentral describes it as "bacterial SSU rRNA". It matches the Rfam family "Bacterial small subunit ribosomal RNA", at positions 232 to 885 of the family's 1533-position model. The record is from RNAcentral.